GUUCGUAUAAAAGCGAUGGAUUCAACUGGAGUUCAUUUCCACAUCAUCCUGCGAUUCUGCCGGUGAAGUCCGACCGAGGUUCAGCGACGGUGAAGCAACAGCUCGCAUCUGAGAAGAACACCUAAAACCGAGUUGAUUGAAGGUUGUAACUUCAUAUCUAGGAUUUACCCUAUUUCCAAAUCAGACGAUCGACUCCAAGGUUUGAAUAACUAGAAUCGAAGAUUGAUUUAAGGUUAGAUUUCGACAUUUAUGUGAUUUUUUUCUUCUUUGGAACCG
Macadamia integrifolia is the source of this 276-nucleotide long non-coding RNA. RefSeq lists it as uncharacterized. The transcript is spliced from 3 exons. NCBI's taxonomy places the organism in Eukaryota, Viridiplantae, Streptophyta, Magnoliopsida, Proteales, Proteaceae. The record is from RefSeq and is a predicted model, not a curated record.